This is a long non-coding RNA of Phyllostomus hastatus (greater spear-nosed bat), 270 nucleotides long. RefSeq lists it as uncharacterized. NCBI's taxonomy places the organism in Eukaryota, Metazoa, Chordata, Mammalia, Chiroptera, Phyllostomidae. The record is from RefSeq and is a predicted model, not a curated record. The transcript has 2 exons.
CUGACCUCAGAGGUGCCGCAGGCGUCGGUAUCUUUCCCCGCAAGGUUUUUGGUGAGUUUUCCGCAACCUGUGUCUUCUGUGAUCUGCACUGAUCCUGAGAGUCCUGCGCAAGACUCGGGGAGACCCAGGAAACCUAGAAAUGGACUCCCUGGCUUUUGAGGAUGUGUCUGUGAACUUCAGUCUGGAGGAGUGGGCUUUACUGGAUCCUUCACAGAAGAAGCUCUAUAGAGAUGUAAUGACAGAAACCUUCAGGAACCUGGCCUCCAUAGG